AAUGAACGCUAGCUACAGGCUUAACACAUGCAAGUCGAGGGGAAACGACAUCGAAAGCUUGCUUUUGAUGGGCGUCGACCGGCGCACGGGUGAGUAACGCGUAUCCAACCUGCCCACCACUUGGGGAUAACCUUGCGAAAGUAAGACUAAUACCCAAUGAUAUCUCUAGAAGACAUCUGAAAGAGAUUAAAGAUUUAUCGGUGAUGGAUGGGGAUGCGUCUGAUUAGCUUGUUGGCGGGGUAACGGCCCACCAAGGCGACGAUCAGUAGGGGUUCUGAGAGGAAGGUCCCCCACAUUGGAACUGAGACACGGUCCAAACUCCUACGGGAGGCAGCAGUGAGGAGUAUUGGUCAAUGGGCGAGAGCUUGAACCAGCCAAGUAGCGUGCAGGAUGACGGCCCUAUGGGUUGUAAACUGCUUUUAUAAGGGAAUAAAGUGAGCCUCGUGAGGCUUUUUGCAUGUACCUUAUGAAUAAGGACCGGCUAAUUCCGUGCCAGCCGCCGCCGUAA
This 508-nucleotide ribosomal RNA is filed under the name uncultured bacterium. Its description in RNAcentral is "partial 16S ribosomal RNA". It matches the Rfam family "Bacterial small subunit ribosomal RNA", at positions 29 to 523 of the family's 1533-position model. The record is from RNAcentral.